This 411-nucleotide RNase P RNA is filed under the name Paludibacter sp. RNAcentral describes it as "RNase P RNA component class A". It matches the Rfam family "Bacterial RNase P class A". From Rfam's summary of the family: Ribonuclease P (RNase P) is a ubiquitous endoribonuclease, found in archaea, bacteria and eukarya as well as chloroplasts and mitochondria. Its best characterised activity is the generation of mature 5'-ends of tRNAs by cleaving the 5'-leader elements of precursor-tRNAs. The record is from RNAcentral. Lineage: Bacteria; Pseudomonadati; Bacteroidota; Bacteroidia; Bacteroidales; Paludibacteraceae.
AUAGUAGGUCGGUUUGUCGCUUUUCCCUCGGGAAUGGAGGAAAGUCCGGGCAACGCAGAGCACCAUAUUUCCUAACGGGAAGCUGUUUGUGAGGGCAGAGUAGCGUAACAGAAAAUAACCACCAUAAUUGACCUUUUCCAUUUUCCCUCUCCAUUGGAGAGGGUGCCCUAUGGGCGGGAGAGGUGUAUGGAAAGGGUGAAAAGGUGAGGUAAGAGCUCACCGGUUCGGAUGGUAACAUUCGAAGCCGUACGUCUUAUGGGUUGCAAGAUCAUGUAUACCGACGCAGUAGGGUUGCUCGCCCGAUGUCGGGGGGUAGAUUGCUAAAGGCAAAUGGCGACAUUUGUUCGAGAUAAAUGACAGACACUUUGCGCAAGCAGAGUACAAAACCCGGCUUAUAGACCUACUAUUUUU